This is a long non-coding RNA of Sapajus apella (tufted capuchin), 315 nucleotides long. RefSeq lists it as uncharacterized. NCBI's taxonomy places the organism in Eukaryota, Metazoa, Chordata, Mammalia, Primates, Cebidae. The record is from RefSeq and is a predicted model, not a curated record. The transcript is spliced from 3 exons.
UCCCAAAGUGCUGGGAUUACAGGUGUGAGCCACUGUGCCUGCCAAGGGUGGUUAGGUUUGAAGGGGAUGAGGAGGGGUGAGUGACUUGUAGCAAUGGAUGGGAAGGUGGUGUCCUGCACCUUAGGGUUAAGGUAGGGGGACAUAAGGGGAGCUGUUGAAGGAGGUAUGGGUUUGGGGAGGAGGGUAGCAAGGAGGUGUGGCUUUAGCCCAGGAAUAGUGGAGGAGGCAGACAAUUUUGCUAGGAUAUCUGGGCCUGACAGGGGAACUGGACAAGUGGGGAUGAUUAGGAAGGAAUGUGGAAAGGAGUGCCAGCCU